CUGUCUCUCCCCAGAUGGGCAGGUACUCAUCCUGCUGAAUGUCCAGCAUGAUCUCCAGCCCGUUGCCUGUCCCCCCCUUGACCGUGGUGAGCAGAGGUUUGCCAUCCUCGCCUGAGUUAAACAUGUAACACUUCCCAUAUUUUGUAAACACCUGAAGGAGAGAAGAGAGAGAGAGAGAGAAGCACAUGGGUAACUUCAGACGGGGGUCCAGAGAUUGGCGAGACCCCAGAAAUCUGACAGCAGGACCCAAGCGUUUUUUGACUGCAUCACUCUGGUUUCCUAGCUGGACUUCAGGAUUCCAGAUGACCUUCUCCAGCCCAUCCUCUAAGGUAACUGAAUUGGGGUUCAGGAAGGAGAAAUGAACUGCCCAAGGUCACACAGGAAGUGGCAAAGCCAGGACUCAAUCAAGGUCACCCAACUUCACAUUUAAGAUGAGGAACCAAAGUUCAAGGAGGUUCAACGUCUUACAGAUUUGGUGGUGCACUUGCUCUUCCCACUGCCCAGUGAAGCGCUACUCGAUCAUACUAGACACAAUGUGGUUGGUCUAUGGGAGGGAGUAUCAGGAAGCAUGAGGAGCCCACACUUCUACAAAGAGUCGAGAUGCCUUCACAAAGAUGCCUCAUGCUGCAAGGUCGUGAAUGCCAAGUGCUCUAGUGUUUCAGAGGUGGAGGAGAUCCCUACAGAUGAGGCACCAGGAAAAGCUUCAAGGUGGAGGCCGGUCUGAGUCUGGCCUCAAAGGAUGAAAUGAUUCAGAUAAACAGCAAAACAAAGCAACAGGAAGGGAGAGAUAACAACAAAGGCAGAGAUGUAGGAGUGAGCAAGGGAGACUGAAUGAGCAGUCCCUGGGACAGAAGGUGGUUUGUGAGGCUGGAAGAGGAGUUGAAACUUGUUUGUAAUUAUUGUGUGGUGUAUUUGCAUUUCUAAUUGCGCUGAGGGACACUGAAGGCCAAGCUUCCAGUCUCUGGGCUGUCUUUCACCUGCGCCGCGGUGCUGAGUUGUUGGCGGCGGCGGCAGCGUCUUUUCUCCAAGCAGCACCUGUGAGAGCAGCAGCUCCAGCUGGAGUCCCAAGACUUCCAAUCAACAUAGAGAGCCACAGGGCCUGUGCCUGCGUGGGUUUGCUGUAAGGAGCCUGUAACGCAUCGAGGAGCCCAGCGCCCAACCCCACACCUGGCAUUGGCUGGGUGCUCAAUAAAUGCUGGCUGACCACGGCUGUUCCUGAACGAAUCCUUAUCUCGCUUAUCUGAUUCAAGCGCCGGGUGGGCGCACUGUGGGCUGGCAGCAAGGGUUCCUGAUGCCAGGACUCUUGGAUUUGCUCCACAGGUGUCUGCGCAUCCAUCUGGAAACUGAGCAUCUGUGCAGGGAAUCCAUUUCCUCUUCUAACUUCUGAAUAGCUUUAGAUACUUCUGACUUCUGAACCCCUUUAGAUGUAUGCUGUCAUUUACCAGGAACAUCCUAACAUUGAUGAUUGAGGCUUCUUUGGCCAUUUCUGCCUCCACAAGCCUUACUUUUU
This 1510-nucleotide long non-coding RNA is filed under the name Homo sapiens (human). RNAcentral's name for it is "HSALNT0389380". Lineage: Eukaryota; Metazoa; Chordata; Mammalia; Primates; Hominidae. The record is from RNAcentral.